Molecule: unclassified non-coding RNA, 975 nt
Filed under: Eurytemora carolleeae
Lineage: Eukaryota; Metazoa; Arthropoda; Copepoda; Calanoida; Temoridae
Description: transmembrane protease serine 9
Source: RNAcentral
UUUUUUUUCAGAAUUAAGAUGAAUAAUGGGCUCUUGAUAGUGUGGACUCUCUUAGUACACACAGGUUCGUUUGUUAGACGAAGUGCAGAAGAAUGUGCUAAGGCUAAAGAAGAAUAUUAUCUAGAGAAAUAUAUUGAUCUAUUGCUGGGAACCAAUACUGCUACUAAGAAACCUAAACCACUCAGGGGUCGCGCAAGAAAACCAUCUGUCAAGUUUCGCACUAAAGAAAUUAAGAAGAAAUUGUUCAGUGAUUGUCCAUGUGGUCUAGUGCCAGGCGCCAGUACAUCUAAUCGAAUAAUUGGAGGCGAAAUUGCUGAGCCUCACUCAUACCCUUGGCUAGUAAGAAUAUAUGGAGGCUGUCCCGCUCAAUUUUGUACAGGGGCCUUAAUCAGUGAUCGUCAUGUUUUGACUGCAUUUCAUUGCCUAUCUACAUUUGAUACCAAAGAUCCGUGUGAUCAUUCUGAUGGGAAGAGAUUGGCCGCAGUAGGAAUUGACUAUUUUGAGAUGAAACAAAGCUGGAAAAGACUUGGUGGAAUACCACUGAAAAAAUUCUACUACCCCCCUAACCCUGGUCUUGAUAGAGAGGACCCAAAAACGCAUGACUUGGCUAUUUAUGAGCUUGAAACUCCUGUAAAGUUUUCUAAAAACAUUCAGCCCAUCUGUUUACCAAAGAAUGGAUAUAAAAACUAUACUGGACUAUUAGCAGUUACAGCUGGUUGGGGGGAUUUCAGAGCGGGUAGGAAUCCAAAUUCUGAAAUUUUACGUGAAGUUGAAUUAGAGAUUGCUCCACCUAUAGGGUUCCCUUCGCUGUUCAGCACAAUAACAGAGAAGAAUGACUAUGGAGUUUAUAAGCGUGUAGGAUCCGUGUUCAGGGGAUAGCGGAGCCCCUCUUAUGCUCAAGAAUGAGAAUAAUCAAUAUAGAAUAAUUGGAACUGUUAACGGAGGUGGAUACCAUUGUGAUGAAAAUACACUUCA